This 450-nucleotide ribosomal RNA is filed under the name uncultured bacterium. Its description in RNAcentral is "partial 16S ribosomal RNA". It matches the Rfam family "Bacterial small subunit ribosomal RNA", at positions 338 to 795 of the family's 1533-position model. The record is from RNAcentral.
CCUACGGGGGGCAGCAGUGGGGAAUAUUGCGCAAUGGGCGAAAGCCUGACGCAGCGACGCCGCGUGGGUGAUGAAGGCCUUCGGGUUGUAAAGCCCUGUCGGGUGGAACGAACGAUCUGGCGGCGAAUAACCGCCGGGUGUGACGGUACCACCGAAGGAAGCCCCGGCUAACUACGUGGCAGCAGCCGCGGGAAGACGGAGGGGGCGAGCGUUGUUCGGACGCACGGGGCGGAAAGCGCGCGUAGGCGGCGGACGCCCUCGGCUUAACCGAGGUCCCGCAUCCGAUACUGUCUGGCUCGAGUCUAGGAGAGGAAAGCGGAAUUCCCAGUGUAGCGGUGAAAUGCGUAGAUAUUGGGAGGAACACCGGUGGCGAAGGCGGCUUUCCGGACUAGUACUGACGCUGAGGCGCGAAAGCUAGGGGAGCGAACGGGAUUAGAUACCCUGGUAGUC